This 449-nucleotide ribosomal RNA is filed under the name uncultured bacterium. Its description in RNAcentral is "partial 16S ribosomal RNA". It matches the Rfam family "Bacterial small subunit ribosomal RNA", at positions 355 to 794 of the family's 1533-position model. The record is from RNAcentral.
UGGGGAAUUUUGGACAAUGGGCGCAAGCCUGAUCCAGCCAUGCCGCGUGCGGGAAGAAGGCCUUCGGGUUGUAAACCGCUUUUGUCAGGGAAGAAAUCUUCUGAGUUAAUACCUCGGGAGGAUGACGGUACCUGAAGAAUAAGCACCGGCUAACUACGUGCCAGCAGCCGCGGUAAUACGUAGGGUGCAAGCGUUAAUCGGAAUUACUGGGCGUAAAGCGUGCGCAGGCGGUUUUGUAAGACAGAGGUGAAAUCCCCGGGCUCAACCUGGGAACUGCCUUUGUGACUGCAAGGCUUGAGUGCGGGCAGAGGGGGGAUGGAAUUCCGCGUGUAGCAGUGAAAUGCGUAGAUAUGCGGAGGAACACCGAUGGCGAAGGCAAUCCCCCUGGGCCUGCACUGACGCUCAUGCACGAAAGCGUGGGGAGCAAACAGAUUAGAUACCCUGGUAGU